UACAGAGGUCCCAAGCGUUGUUCGGAUUCAUUGGGCGUAAAGGGUGCGUAGGCGGCGCGGUAAGUCGGGUGUGAAAUCUCGGAGCUUAACUCCGAAACUGCAUUCGAUACUGCCGUGCUUGAGGACUGGAGAGGAGACUGGAAUUUACGGCGUAGCGGUGAAAUGCGUAGAUAUCGUAAGGAAGACCAGUGGCGAAGGCGGGUCUCUGGACAGUUCCUGACGCUGAGGCGCGAAAGCUGGGGGAGCAAACGGG
Molecule: ribosomal RNA, 253 nt
Filed under: uncultured bacterium
Lineage: Bacteria
Description: partial 16S ribosomal RNA
Rfam family: Bacterial small subunit ribosomal RNA
Source: RNAcentral